This 742-nucleotide long non-coding RNA is filed under the name Hordeum vulgare. RNAcentral's name for it is "long non-coding RNA (HVUL_LNC020376)". The record is from RNAcentral. Lineage: Eukaryota; Viridiplantae; Streptophyta; Magnoliopsida; Poales; Poaceae.
CCAACUUUGGUACUACAUUUGCCUAAUCACUAAUAAACUGCAUAGGGAGUAAUUAACCCGAGGAAAUUUAAUCAACCCCCGGGCCAGUGCUCCUCAUGAGUGUUGGUCCAAACUAGAGCCGUUUGCGGGGCCAACCCGGGGCAACUCGGGAGAUUUCUAUCAGGCCAUCGUACGCUGUGCUUAUCCGUCGUGUCCUAAGAACGAGGUACGCGACUCCUAUCGGGAUCGUCGACACGUCGGGCGGCCUUGCUGGAUUAGUUUUACCUUUGACGAGAUAUCUUGUGCAUCGGGAUUCCGGUGAUGCUUUGGGUAAUCUUAGAGUUGAGGUUUUCCACUAGGGAAUCCGACGAGAUCGCGAGCUUCGUGAUUGAGGAUUUCUAUGCGGCUUGUGGUAAUUUGUGAUGGACUAGUUGGAGCACCCCUGCAGGGUUAAAUCUUUUCGGAAAGCCGUGCCCGCGGUUAUGUGGCAACGUGGAUACUUUGAUUAACACUGGUUCUAGAUAACUUGAAGUUAACUUAAUUAAAAUAUGCCAACUGGGUGCGUAACCGUGACUGUCUCUUUCGUGAGUUCCUUCUCCGAUCGAGGACACGGCGGGGUUAUGUCUGACGUAGGUAGGUGUUCAGGAUCAUGCUUUUGAUCUUCAGUAGUUCACGUCCGUUAUGCGUAGAUCUUCCCCCUCUUAUUUCUGGUACUCGUAAGUUAGCCACCAUAUAUAUACGCUUAGCCGCUGCUGCAACCUCA